GACGAACGCGGGCGGCGUGCCUAAUACAUGCAAGUGGGACGCAAGGGAACACACUGUGCUUGCACACCGUGUUUUCUUGAGUCGCGAACGGGUGAGUAACGCGUAGGUAACCUGCCUAUUAGCGGGGGAUAACUAUUGGAAACGAUAGCUAAUACCGCAUAAUAUUAAUUAUUGCAUGAUAAUUGAUUGAAAGAUGCAAGCGCAUCACUAGUAGAUGGACCUGCGUUGUAUUAGCUAGUUGGUAAGGUAAGAGCUUACCAAGGCGACGAUACAUAGCCGACCUGAGAGGGUGAUCGGCCACACUGGGACUGAGACACGGCCCAGACUCCUACGGGAGGCAGCAGUAGGGAAUCUUCGGCAAUGGACGAAAGUCUGACCGAGCAACGCCGCGUGAGUGAAGAAGGUUUUCGGAUCGUAAAGCUCUGUUGUAAGUCAAGAACGUGUGUGAGAGUGGAAAGUUCACACAGUGACGGAGCUACCA
RNAcentral lists this ribosomal RNA (481 nucleotides) under Streptococcus mutans. RNAcentral describes it as "bacterial SSU rRNA". It matches the Rfam family "Bacterial small subunit ribosomal RNA", at positions 28 to 485 of the family's 1533-position model. The record is from RNAcentral. Lineage: Bacteria; Bacillati; Bacillota; Bacilli; Lactobacillales; Streptococcaceae.